Astatotilapia calliptera (eastern happy) is the source of this 1219-nucleotide long non-coding RNA. The record is from Ensembl. Lineage: Eukaryota; Metazoa; Chordata; Actinopteri; Cichliformes; Cichlidae.
GGGAGAGUAAAUAAAUGACUGUACAGAAUCUCUCUUAACAAGCACAAUAGCUGAAGCCACCUUUUUAGGUUCUUUGAAUGGAUUUCUAGCACACUUCAUGCCUCGAAGCACAUUGCUCUCUUACAGAAGCAUAAAUGAGGUUGUCCCAUAGAUGCAUUGGAGUUUGUAGAUGUUGUUUCUAUUGGAAUUGUCAGUGUAGCCAUGAGGCAUCUAGUCUGCUGGAAAUCUAAAGCAAAAGAGGAUCUAAAUCAGAGCUUCCCUUUGUGAACUCAAAGCACAAUAAAUCUUAUAAUGUCUGCAUGGCAUUUAACAGUACGUGACCAUCCAUGAAGGAUAAUCAAACUACAUACUGAACUUAUGAACUGAGAUCUCUUUCUUCCCUUAAUGAACACAAACACACUUCUCUUCAGUUUUAUUGGCAUUUAUUCUAAAGGGAAAAAUAUAGAAUUCAAUAAAUAUUAUGGCAACAACAUUGACAAAGACAUUUUGAAGGUGACAUCAACAUUCAAGAAAACGUGUGUAUACACCGGAAAGAAAGGAUUGGGAAAAGAAAAUAGGGACACGGGCGCUGAGCUGACAAAUGUGACAGCACUGGCAUUUGAACAAGCUAAUUGAGAAACUGAUGGUCACAUUAAAAGUGCAUCAAUACCGUUGAUAUUUAAACAGCUGCGUCAUUGCACUGUUGUUUGAGAGGAAGGAAAAAACACUAGUUCAAAAACACUUGUUUCUCAAGACUAAUUUUGAAAUUGACACAAAUCUCUUACAUUAUGUGACAUUACUGCGGAGGUCAUGAUACUCAAACACUGAAAUGACCCAAGGAAGAAAAAAAAAUACAAUCAUCCUUUCCGAGUUAAGGUCUGGUCUAGGGCUGCCACAAACGAUUAUUUUGAUAGUCGACUAGUCACCGAUUAUUUAUGCGAUUAGUCGACUAAUCAGAUCAUCAUCCACUGGACGUAAAACUACAGCUUAUUGCACCAGCAGCAUCUGCUCUUAUAUAACUAUCAUUAGCUUACAGCUUUAAGCUUUUAAGGUGCUAACUAAAAAUAAAGACAAGAUGAUAGUUUAUUCAAUUUUAAUGAAAUUUGCAGAUUGUUUCGGUGAAGUUUAAUAAACUCCUUGCUAUCUAAAAUAUAACAGGACAACGGAGUAUAUUCUCCAGCAUCUCACACUUCUGAUAAUCAGCUGUCUGCUUGACGUUUAUUCAGCUGUGUAAAAACUA